Molecule: long non-coding RNA, 4289 nt
Organism: Corvus hawaiiensis (hawaiian crow)
Lineage: Eukaryota; Metazoa; Chordata; Aves; Passeriformes; Corvidae
Exons: 2
Source: RefSeq, a predicted model, not a curated record
GCUGACUGCAGAGAGGUUGGAACCAGAUGAUCUUUACAGUCCCUUCCAACCCAAUCUGUUCCAUGAUUUUAUGAUCACUAGCAAAACCUUCUUUGGUUUGGAAAGCAAACCAAAUCCAGCACUGAGCCCAGCCCUCACAACUCACAGCACCCAUUUCCCUUUCAUCGUGGCAUCAGGAAGGCAGCGUGAAAGUAAGAAAAUCUCUGCGACAGGGGAGGGAGGGCUUGUUUUUUCCCUUCCUGGUUGUAUGGCCCAUAUGGUUAUCGAGUUAUGGGAAAAUCUGGCUGCCCAAACAGGUGUCACCGCUCCCAACCCACAGACUCAUUUCCUGAUCGCGUCUUAAUCGGCAAGUUGGUUGUGAAAGUUGAUUUCUUGCACAUUCUUAUAUCAGUGGGAAUUUCUGCCCUUCCCUGACAAGUAUUAUAGGCAGCCUUUGACAUACAGCCCUACAGGACCUAAAUAGGCUGCUAUUCUUUCCCUACACUGAAAGGGAGCUUUGUGCCAGGGAUUCAUUAAACUGCACUGCACAGCCCUUCAUAAAUGGGCUCAAUAAUGAACAGUCGAUUUAACUGGAAAAGCUGCUGGAGCUGUUAAAUUAAAGGGAAAUAAAGUGCACUUCAAGCUCAGUCUGCCAGAAGAAAAUGUUGACCUAAAAAAAAAAAAAAUCUUUAUUUUACUCAAUCUCUUGCAAACAGGCUAAAAUCUUCAGGAAGUUUAUACUCACAACAGUGGGAACAAUUUUAAAACAUACCAGUUUGCUUCCCCACUAAUAAAGAAAGAAGAAUUGCAAUAAAAUACUCAAUAAAAUCAGGAUAGAUGAAAGGCAUAUUCUACUUAAGCCAAAUUUAGUCUCCUUAACACAAAUUUCGUAUUUGUAUGUAGAUCCCUCCUCCCAUCAACUUUAUAUAGGCAAAGUUCCCACUGGAGCUGAGUUCUUAAAGUCAUUAGGGAGAUACUUUAUUUCCAGUUUGCCAAUAUUUUCUGAAAUUCUGGGGUGCUAUGCAGUCCAGUCCUUCAGUGCUCAGUUCUGGGAUCAUGUUGCUCAUAAGGCAGUGGUUGUUUUGCCCAUGUGAGGUGUGCAGGACUCAGCUGAAAAACAGGCACACAUGAGGGAUGACAUUUAAUCUUCUGAAUGAAUACAAAAGUCCAUCAUUCAGCUGAGCCUGACCCAACUCUUGGUUUUAGAAGAGUGGAAUUCCUUAUUUCAGUGAGGUUACUACAGUGUAAACCUGGAGCAGUGAAUCAGCUCUUCCAUCACAGCCAUCUCACUCUCUUUCAUCUGGACAGUCUUAAAUACUGUUCCUCAGCUGUGUUCUGUACUUUAUAUAUGAAAUAUUGUGAAGAGAAUCCAUCUGUGUGAAGGUAGACUGGAAGCUUAAGGACAAGAAGAUCAGAAGAAGCAUGCAAUGGGGAAGGGACCAUGUCCAAAUCUAAUUCCUGGGGCAGCUGAUCUGAACAAAGAAACUUCAGCACCAGCUUAAAAACACUUCUGUUGCUUUCACAUUUCACAUUGUAGCUAUUUUUUCCUUACAUAAACUUCCUGAUUGGAGAAACCCUCAUCUUCUUCAUACUAUUGUGAUUUUUUUUCAAAUCUUGUAUAUAAUAUAUAAAGUGAUGGCAGCAGGUUUUCAGCUCUUUGCUGAAGCUACCUUCAGUGGGUUUAGUAUUUUUUCAUACUCUGAAAACAUGGAGCAUUCAGGAAGAAUGCUGAAAUUAACUGAAAUAUGUUAGUCUUCCACCUAAAUUGUCCAUAAUUAUUUAAAGUUUGAUUAUAAAUUACCUGGAGUAGAUCAAAAUCCCACAAGAAUUGCAAAAUCGUGAACUUGUCUGUCCAAAAAAUAGUGCAUUUGAGAAGUUGAUAAGCCACCUCUUGUGCUGGUGACUCACCACUGCAAGAGCUGUGUGAAAAACACCACUUGCAUCUUCAGGAAAGAGCACUGGGGGUUGAAAUUGUAAUUUUGUUUCAUUAAGUCCUGCUCAUAAUCCGGCACUUGGCUACUGGUAGAAAUAUACAAUGAGGAAACAUUUAAAAAUACAUAAAAAUAAUAAGAAAAUAAACCACUUUUCAUACUAUUGAGAAAUUUUUUUUUUUUUCCCCCUCAGUUCUUGUGUAUUCCUUGAAAUUUUCAGGGUUUUGUCUUCACUCAGAGACAUUUUUGAAGGUAAAUGUGUGGGGGUAGGCAUUGAACUCCUGCCUUUAUUUCUCUAGUAGUGGAGGGUGCUGCUUGGAAGAAAUGUGAAAUGCCAUCAGACAGCAAGUAAUGUAAAGCCCUGCCUUGUUUGCUGCAAACUACCUUCCCUCUAAUGUUUUUUUGCUUGGCAGGAACCAGUUUGUUUGAUCUCCUGGUUCCUGACAGGCUUUGAGAUGCUACAUGGCUUUGAGACGGGGCUACACGGCUUUGGGGAGGACAAGAGCUCCUCAAACCUUACCUGAUGCAAAUAGCGAGGAUUUAAAAACGCUGGGAAACAGCCCUCAUGUAUCUCAAAAUGGCCACUGAAACCAAAGGUGUUCGGUGUUUCUCAGAUGUCUGGCCAUGCACCAUCCACAACACGGGGGGGAGCACAGGAGGGCCGGGUGCUGUCUGUGGUGUGCUCACGGUCAUGCACAGCUUGGCAACAGUGUUCAGAAAGAAGCCUUCUCUUUCACUACUUACACUCUGAAGUAAGGACCUGGUCCAAUUCCCAGUGAAGCCAUUUCCACUGAAUUUCAUUAACUGAUGAAUAACACUGGUUGAUGGAUCUAAUUUUCAGAAUUGCUGAGCAUCAACAAUUCCUGUGAGUCUGGUGAGCCAGUCCCUGUUUCUGCCCUCAUCUGUGAAUAAUCAAUUUUCUUGAGGCAGGAAACCUCAUGCCAAAAUCUUCAUCUGAUUUGUGGCAUCUUCCCUCCAUGUAGCUAUGAACUGAACUCUGUUUGUCCUUCCAGCUCUCCCAUGGCCUGGGAUCAGCACUCUCUCCUACUCUGGGCAGCUCUCACAUGAUGCUUCAGCCAUGCUGACUCGGAGGUGACUCCUCGUUGACUUGGAGGUGAUUUUCAGGGGUUCCCAGCUGGAGGAUGGAGGGUUUGUUUGCUGCCCACCCUCCCUUGGAUGACCUGGGCAAGGAUCUUGGUGUUCCCUCAGUGUGGAGCCACAGGAGGAGCCUGGCUGUGCCAGCCUGAAUGGGCACGGCCAUCGCCACAGCCGUGAUCCAGCUCAGCAAGGACCUCGAUAAGGACCGCGAGGCACUGCGCACCAGAUUGCCAAAUACAGACACUGACAACCAAACAAGAAACACCCAAAAAGCCAUUGAUUGUGGCUAUCAAAGAGGACCCUACAUGAUCUCAGCCCUAAUCUCUUAUUCAUGGGGAGAAACAGGUAGCUUGAGAGUAAUUUCCCUGCCCUGUUUCAGUGAUGCUGCUGACCUUGUUUUCCUGCUGACCUUGAAAAGGGCCCUAUAAUCAAUCUAAUCAAACUAGUCUCAACCAGAUCUGAAGAGCUCAGGGCACCUCCCAACUUGUCCCAGCAUCCAUUGGAGCUACAAGUGUCAAACCAGUGCAGGAAGUUGCCCAAAAUGUCCUGAAAAUGGUUUUUAGAAACUCAGAGUUCACCACACUCCUUUUUGAGGGGGGAAACUCGCAUCCAGUAACUGCUAUUAUUCAUUGCAGGUUUAAACUGGCCUGGGACCAAAGCUGGAAAGGGAAAAAGCACAGACCAUCUCUCUCCCCAAAAUCUCCAAGUCAUCUAAUCCCUCCUACUCCCAUUUUUAGGCUUAGCUUGUCUAUUAAUACACCAAAAUAUCCAUAACUAGCCUCAUGCCAAGAAUGUACAGACACUACAACAAAUAGUUGCCAGAUGUAGUAAGCCUUGUUCAUAUGGCUGGAUGCUCAGGAAAAUGAAAGUGAGGAAAAGCCUUAUCUUCUAAACAACUUUUAAUCAUUUUUUGUGGGCCUAUGAACGGGAUUUUUAAGAAAGAUCUGAAUGGGAAUAUGAAGCAGUCAUUCAGCUUGGAUGGGGAGACUCACCAAUAGUGACAAAAUUCAACCUUCUGGUGGCACCACAAGGAGGAAGAAUAGAAUCCACUGGAAAACCCUGAGGGAUGAGAGGAUUCAGACUACAUCCUCAGACACAGACAAGGUGGGCACUUUUGCCAAUGACUCAAGCCAGUUCUGAGCCCGACACCCUCACAAACAGCCAGACAUGAAAGUAUGGAAAUAUAAACACUGUGCACUCAAUUUUGCCCAGAGGAAGUUAUUUAGACCUGUUUGGAGUACAUCUAGUGAUAUUUUUGUGCAAGAUACCAUCUUUGAGCCA